GGGGGCAUAGCUCAGUUGGGAGAGCAACAGACUGAAGUGAUAUCUUCACGUCUUCUGGAGGUCCCCAGUUCAAUCCUGGGUGCCCCCA
Desarmillaria tabescens is the source of this 88-nucleotide non-coding RNA. Lineage: Eukaryota; Fungi; Basidiomycota; Agaricomycetes; Agaricales; Physalacriaceae. The record is from the annotation of a RefSeq genome assembly.